RNAcentral lists this ribosomal RNA (253 nucleotides) under uncultured bacterium. RNAcentral describes it as "partial 16S ribosomal RNA". It matches the Rfam family "Bacterial small subunit ribosomal RNA", at positions 524 to 776 of the family's 1533-position model. The record is from RNAcentral.
UACAGAGGGUGCGAGCGUUAAUCGGAAUUACUGGGCGUAAAGCGCGCGUAGGCGGCUUUGCAAGUCGGGUGUGAAAUCCCCAAGCUUAACUUGGGAACUGCAUUCGAGACUGCAUUGCUAGAGUAUGGGAGAGGGAAGUGGAAUUUCCGGUGUAGCGGUGAAAUGCGUAGAUAUCGGAAGGAACAUCAGUGGCGAAAGCGACUUCCUGGACCAAUACUGACGCUCAUGUGCGAAAGCGUGGGGAGCAAACGGG